This 389-nucleotide ribosomal RNA is filed under the name uncultured bacterium. RNAcentral's name for it is "bacterial SSU rRNA". It matches the Rfam family "Bacterial small subunit ribosomal RNA", at positions 28 to 417 of the family's 1533-position model. The record is from RNAcentral.
GACGAACGCUGGCGGCGUGCUUAACACAUGCAAGUCGAGCGGUAAGGCCCUUUCGGGGGUACGACGAGCGGCGAACGGGUGAGUAACACGUGGGUGACCUGCCCUCAGCUCUGGGAUAAGCCUGGGAAACUGGGUCUAAUACCGGAUAUGACUCCAUGACGCAUGUUGUGGGGUGGAAAGCCUUGUGCGGCUGAGGAUGGGCCCGCGGCCUAUCAGCUUGUUGGUGGGGUGAUGGCCUACCAAGGCGACGACGGGUAGCCGGCCUGAGAGGGCGACCGGCCACACUGGGACUGAGACACGGCCCAGACUCCUACGGGAGGCAGCAGUGGGGAAUCUUGCGCAAUGGGCGAAAGCCCGACGCAGCGACGCCGCGUGAGGGAUGACGGCCU